AUACGUAGGUGGCGAGCGUUAUCCGGAAUUACUGGGUGUAAAGGGUGUGUAGGCGGGGCGCCAAGUCAGAUGUGAAAAUUACGGGCUCAACCCGUAACCUGCGUCUGAAACUGGUGCUCUUGAGAGUGGGAGAGGUAAACGGAAUUCCUGGUGUAGCGGUGAAAUGCGUAGAGAUCAGGAGGAACACCGGUGGCGAAGGCGACUUUCUGGCUGACAACUGACGCUGAGGCGCGAAAGUGUGGGGAGCAAACAGGAUUAGAUACCCUGGUAGUCCACACUGUAAACGAUGAAUGCUAGGUGUAGGAGGUAUCGACCCCUUCUGUGCCGCAGUAAACACAGUAAGCAUUCCGCCUGGGGAGUACGGCCGCAAGAAUGAAACUCAAAGGAAUUGACGGGG
RNAcentral lists this ribosomal RNA (397 nucleotides) under uncultured bacterium. RNAcentral describes it as "partial 16S ribosomal RNA". It matches the Rfam family "Bacterial small subunit ribosomal RNA", at positions 523 to 918 of the family's 1533-position model. The record is from RNAcentral.